GUAAAUGAUAAUGUUGUAUGGUUUGGAAAAACUACUUUUUAAGACUGAUUUAUAAUAUUACAAAGCGACUCUCUUUACAUCUUGUAUGCUUCAAAACUUAAAGACCUUCAAAUCAUAAGUUUAGUUGCCCAAAGAAAGUCUAAUUUUGUUCUUCUCAUCUAACAUGAAAGGACAGAGCAAGUAGCCUCAGUGGGGCAACCAACCAUAAAAGGAUUUAUGUAUCGUCACUGAUGCUUGCAAUAAGACCAAUUGCAUAAUAUCUACUUAAGAUCAUCCUUUACAAGACCGACCUACUUGGAAGAGUAGCAAAGUGGGCAAUUCUGUUAGACUUUAUAAAUUUCAUAAACAACUAAAAACACUAACCUGAAAGUAAGGUAUAAAAUAUCGAUGAUAUCGGAAAUAUCGGUAGUCCAAAAACACGAAAAUUUCGAUGGAAAUAUCGGGAUAUUAUCGAUAUCGAUAAAAAUUGAAUAAAAACCACGGAAAUUGUACGAAAAACUUGGAAAUUUUUAUUGAAACUUUGUGGGAUGUUUAUUUAGUCAAUUAUCUAUUAGUUUAUUACAAAAAAUUGUAAGGAAAUGCAUUGCAUGAUGGAUUUAACUAAUUUAAGUUGAUUAUAUAGCGAGCUGGCAAACAUUAUGAGUGUAGAAAAUAUGUAGUAAUUAAGGAAAGAAGUUUAAACACACCAUAAUCAUUUAUAUAUAAUGAAUUAGUACAAUAUUUUACACUUUAUACAUUGCAUGGUAAGAUACAUGAGUGACUUAGUACCACAUAGAGUUCCUAUCAAGGUCUAAAAUAUCGAUGAUAUCGGAAAUAUCGAUAGUCCAAAAACACGGAAAUUUCGAUGGAAAUAUCGGGAUAAUAUCGAUAUUUUAGACCUUGCCUGAAAGAAUUUAUAAAUUAUGCUCAAUUGAUAAAGUACUCGAAGUCAACGUGGCAUGUAGGAAAGAUGCACCAUCUUUGACAGAAUUGUGCAAAAUAGGCUCAACCAUGGACUUCUCAUUCUGUGGAAAUCGUAUUGGAAUCCUGCGGAAUAAUAUGUUAGUUGACCAAAGUCUUAUGUAUACUCAAGACUCCUUUAUACUUGAACUAAUGGGGCAUUCAUAUGAGUUUAUGUGUGUUGUGAGUAGUGUUCUAAAAAUCGGCCUAGGUGGCCGCCUAGGCGCUGGGCGGUGGCCAACCAUUAGGAUUAAUGCAAAAUCGAGAGCAAAAUUGGGACAGGGAUUAGGUGGGCACCGAGGUGGCCUGAGUAGCCCUUGGAAGGCCUAGGCAGGCUACUGGGUGGCCUAGGCGGUCUGGAAAUUUCAAUUUUUUCUGUGUUCGAACUUGAGAAAAGAUGAAUGCAGAUUAGCUGUGUUCUGGUUUUUCUGGACUUCAUGAGCUUCUGGUUUGUGUUCUUGUGAAGAGGAAGAAGAUGAGAGAAAAUUAGUUUCUCUCUCUUCCUUCCACACCCACAUGAUCACUUUCAAACUAUUUAAUAUAAUUUUUGUUUUUGUUUUUGUCCAUUCAAGUUUGGACAGCUAGCAUUUUAACUUUUCUGAAAGAAAAAAGGCUGUCAGUCCAUCUAUAGCAUUAAGUGCUAUUAAUUUUUUUCUCAUUAAAAAAACAUAGAUUGUCAGGUUGUCAGUUCAUAGCAUCAAGUGUUAUUGAUUUUUUGGACUUGUUAGAAACACAUUUUAUCAUUCUUUUACUAUUUUAUUCAGGGAUUUCAUACAAGUAUAAUUUUUUGUAAGUGUCAGUAUACACUUAUUUACAAGAUAUAUAAGAAAU
This 1770-nucleotide long non-coding RNA is filed under the name Malus domestica (apple). RNAcentral's name for it is "long non-coding RNA (MDOM_LNC001033)". Lineage: Eukaryota; Viridiplantae; Streptophyta; Magnoliopsida; Rosales; Rosaceae. The record is from RNAcentral.